GACGAACGCUGGCGGCGUGCUUAACACAUGCAAGUCGAACGGUAAGGCCCUUCGGGGUACACGAGUGGCGAACGGGUGAGUAACCCGUGGGUGAUCUGCCCUGCACUUCGGGAUAAGCCUGGGAAACUGGGUCUAAUACCGGAUAGGACCACUGCCUGCAUGGGUGGUGGUGGAAAGCUUUUGCGGUGUGGGAUGGGCCCGCGGCCUAUCAGCUUGUUGGUGGGGUGAUGGCCUACCAAGGCGACGACGGGUAGCCGGCCUGAGAGGGUGACCGGCCACACUGGGACUGAGAUACGGCCCAGACUCCUACGGGAGGCAGCAGUGGGGAAUAUUGCACAAUGGGCGCAAGCCUGAUGCAGCGACGCCGCGUGAGGGAUGACGGCCUUCGGGUUGUAAACCCCUUUCAGCACCGACGAAGCGCAAGUGACGGUAGGUGCAGAAGAAGGACCGGCCAACUACGUGCCAGCCGCCGCGGUAA
This 478-nucleotide ribosomal RNA is filed under the name uncultured bacterium. RNAcentral describes it as "partial 16S ribosomal RNA". It matches the Rfam family "Bacterial small subunit ribosomal RNA", at positions 28 to 523 of the family's 1533-position model. The record is from RNAcentral.